This 308-nucleotide long non-coding RNA is filed under the name Carica papaya (papaya). Its description in RNAcentral is "long non-coding RNA (CPAP_LNC006359)". The record is from RNAcentral. Lineage: Eukaryota; Viridiplantae; Streptophyta; Magnoliopsida; Brassicales; Caricaceae.
UCGGAAGGUGUUGGAAUUCUUAUUGGUUUAAGUCUAUGGUCAUCUCUAAAUCUUGACUACCGUUUAGAUAAUUUCAUCGUUUGCAAACAAAAACACGUGGGUUAGAAGAUGGACAUUGUGGAAAUAAUUAGAAUACAAAAGGAGAUAGAAUUUUACCGUAGUGUGAUCCCGAUCACCGGAAUCGCCACACGCCACCAUACGCAUGUCCUUGAUUUAUUACGCGUCGCUGCCUGAGCGCUGUUGCUGAAACACUGCCACUGGACCAUUGUCGGCCACCGCACACUGCUCUGAACCAUCGCAAAUCGACU